Molecule: non-coding RNA, 68 nt
Organism: Sarcophilus harrisii (Tasmanian devil)
Lineage: Eukaryota; Metazoa; Chordata; Mammalia; Dasyuromorphia; Dasyuridae
Source: Rfam
CCAGCAUUCCCAGGUAGGCCAAGGUGUCCUACAGAAGAACCUUGGGUAACACCUACACGGGGGUCUGG